Molecule: non-coding RNA, 38 nt
Filed under: unclassified sequences
Description: S4-Bacteroidia ribosomal protein leader
Rfam family: S4-Bacteroidia ribosomal protein leader
Source: RNAcentral
GAUUGCAUUUUUUAACGACCUCUCUGCAAUCGCGGCUG